RNAcentral lists this long non-coding RNA (438 nucleotides) under Homo sapiens (human). Its description in RNAcentral is "HSALNT0382159". The record is from RNAcentral. Lineage: Eukaryota; Metazoa; Chordata; Mammalia; Primates; Hominidae.
CUCCCAAAGUGCUGGGAUUACAGGCGUGAGCCAUCGUACCUGGCGUUACUUUCUUAUUAUCUCGCUUCUUCCACCUUCACUCAGACUUACUUUCUUCUCUUCGCCCCAUUUAGAACUUUUGUUCCCUGAAGAGUCAUCAGUGUUCAGCAUCCUGUCAAUUUAGUCAUAUAAUGAAAGUAUUCAAACUAAAUUACGAAUAAAGAUUGUGAACCCAACAAAGGCCCAGAAACAGCCUGAAGAGCCUCUGAACUAAGGCCACUUGAAGCAAGGAGGCACAAGUAAUUCUGCCAUAACGAAACUCACCUGAUUGGAAGAGGGGCGUGAAGAAAGGGUUUUCUAAGGCAGGAUCAAAAUGAGAGAUUCCAUCUCAGACCUUGGCCCUUCAUCUUUAGCAGGUGAUACUGUAGUCACCGGACCAACCCCCAGCCUUGAUCUCUC